UUUCAUUAUAUCAUUUUUCAAUUCUUCUAUUUUUUGCUCUAAACACUCUACUAACCAGAUCAGGCCUAUUUUGUACCUCAUCAGUCGAUAUAAGUUUUUCUUCUAUUUCGGGCCAAGAAGGAUUACAUGUUAUAGUCGAAAAUAUAUCAGGCUUUCCAAAACGUUGCACUAAUGCAAUAGCAUCCAUAUACCGUCUACGCAUAUCUCUUGGACCUCCAGUAAAGCUAAGUGGAAGUAUGCGUUGUUUUCCUAUAUGUGAAGCUUCUCUUUCCCCCUUACAUAAAACAUCCAAAAUUCCAUCUAACACAUCUGUUCUAAUUAAAUCUUGAUUAAAAGAAGCAAAGUCUAAUCGUUGGCUUUCAAUUUUUAUCCAUUCAUCUACUACAUAUUGUUGGAAUAAUCUUCCUGCAUGCAAGACUAUAUUUUCAUCAUCUCUUAUUUGAAGUUUGUAACAAUAAUAUUCACGACAAGAAAUAGUGUC
RNAcentral lists this long non-coding RNA (481 nucleotides) under Solanum tuberosum (potato). RNAcentral's name for it is "long non-coding RNA (STUB_LNC000862)". The record is from RNAcentral. Lineage: Eukaryota; Viridiplantae; Streptophyta; Magnoliopsida; Solanales; Solanaceae.